GAUGAACGCUGGCGGUCUGCUUAACACAUGCAAGUCGAACGAACUCUUCGGAGUGAGUGGCGGACGGGUGAGUAACGCGUGAGAAUCUGCCUGUGGGUCGGGGACAACCACUGGAAACGGUGGCUAAUACCGGAUGAGCCGAAAGGUAAAGAUUUAUUGCCCACGGAUGAGCUCGCGUCUGAUUAGCUAGUUGGUGGGGUAAUGGCCUACCAAGCCGACGAUCCAUAGCUGGUUUGAGAGGAUGAUCAGCCACACUGGGACUGAGACACGGCCCAGACUCCUACGGGAGGCAGCAGUGGGAAUUUUCCGCAAUGGGCGAAAGCCUGACGGAGCAAGACCGCGUGGGGGAGGAAGGUUUUUGGAUCGUAAACCCUUUGUCAAGGAAGAAGCUCUGACGGUACUUGACGAAUAAGCCUCGGCUAACUCCGUGCCAGCCGCCGCGGUAAU
RNAcentral lists this ribosomal RNA (447 nucleotides) under uncultured bacterium. RNAcentral describes it as "bacterial SSU rRNA". It matches the Rfam family "Bacterial small subunit ribosomal RNA", at positions 28 to 524 of the family's 1533-position model. The record is from RNAcentral.